CCCCCACCGGGGUGUCCAAAGGUCGGUGGGCCGCAGGUCCCCGCGCCUUUGGCUCUCACAACAGCUGUUCCUGGUUCAGGCCUCUGCCCCUCCCGCGCGUGCCCCAGAGGCGCCAGCGGGGCCAGGAGGCUGCACCCCGGCGUGCCCACCAGAGGGCCAGGGAGUUAUCUGAGGUGGGCCAGGCAGCUCUGCGUUCUGGCCAGGGUCAGGGAGCUGGGUUCUGGGGCCUGUUCACCGGCUCUUGUCCUCCCCCUGCCCGUCCAGGACUGGUCCUCUGGCUGGCGAAGCCAGGCGACGCCAGGGGCACCUGGUGCGGGUGCCAUUCCGUGAGGAGAUGCUCCAGGCGCUCACGCGGCUCACGCACACCACCCACGGAGGGUCUGCCAUCUCCCCGCUGCCCAUCUCGCUCCAGGGACCCACAGCCCUCUAGCCAAAGCACUUCGCGGCCCUGGUGCCAGGAGCCAGCACGGGGGAGGGUGACCCAGCACCCAAGUAUGCCCGGGCCUUGUCCGUUUUGCAGCCUCAAGUCCCAAGUCUGGGUCUCUGCCCGAAUGUGUGUCUGGAAAGGUAGUCUGCGGGGAGUGGACUAUUCAAUUUGUCCCCUGCCCCCAGUGCCCUCACCAGCCUGAUGGCCUCUCUUGGCCCUGAGGGCAGCAUGGGUGCGGUACCUCCCUGGAGACCUCCGUCUGUCAGGCCUGAGUCAGCCUUCCAUAGGUUUUUCACCAGUCCUCUGCUGCCGGGGCUAGACGCUGCACCAGGGCAGAGCAGCCUGGCUCAAAGCAGAGAUUCUGUGCCUGUGGAUCUGACGACCAUGCACCUGACCCAUCACAGGAGUCUGGGGCCAUGUGAACAGCAUCUCCACCAGACAGGUGGCAGACAGGUUCCCACGGGGUCACACCUCUGGGUGUCGUUCCCUCAUCCCCUUCUCUUUCCUUGCCUGGCCUCCUGUUUGGCAACUUGCUGGCCAAGGUUUCCCCCAAGCUUCCAGCUCACCCAAACUGAAUCACAGCCCAGAGUGUUUGUCUGUGACCCUAUGGAUGGACAUUCGGGUCCUUCCCACUGUUUGGCUGUUGCAGACACUGCUGCCCGUGGCAUCCCGCAUGCCUGUCUGAGCCACCACCGUCAGCGAGAAAGGCUCUGGGGUGCACAGCCGGCAGUGGCUCUGCUGGGACUUGGGCUGUGCCCAUCAACGCCACGACCAAGCAUGGCUCAUCUGUGACCUCCGGGAGAGACACCACCUCAUCGCUGUGUGCCUUGGGUUUCCCCGAUCGGUGACGAGGUCUCUCACUGGCCGUUCCCGGUUCCUCUUCUGUGAAUCUCCUUUGCUCCUUUCCUCCUCAUCUUACAGGUGACAGGCGUCAUCAGCCCGUUUCCAGGAGAAAGUUCCUAGCGUCAAGAUCGAAGCCUUUCUCCUUUUGUGAUAUAAGCCAUGGCCAGUCUAUCACGUUGCCCAGAAGCAGGUCGCAUUGGAGUGGGCCUCACAAUUAGACUUUGGCUCGCCCGUAUGGUUGUGAAACGUUUCAGAAUCAAGAUGGAGUCACUUGUUGUUCAAGCAAACAAAAAUCCAAAAACCUGACAAAUAGAGCUGUGGAGGGCCAUGGAGGCAGGGUUCCCAUGCACGAAUGCCUGAUAACAAAAGCCAUCACAGAAGACUGCAAAACCCACAAAUUGGCACAAAGGCUGUUGCAACCUGACACAAAUAAUGCUUCUGCGAGGACACCUGCCCAGCAACUUCCUGUCCAAGUCCCUGACCAAUGCUACCCUUGUUAUUCAUCCUUGUAGCCAAAGAUCAUUAUCUCAAAACAAUUAUGUAAUCCUCUUCACUUUUCCUGAAAAACCUUUGUCUUCCUUUUCCCUGCCUGAAUAUGCACAUAGUUCACUAGGGCGCACGCGUCCCCACUGCAACGCCUAUUUCUGAAUAGAUACCAUUUUCUUAUA
Non-coding RNA from Macaca mulatta (Rhesus monkey), 1938 nucleotides. Lineage: Eukaryota; Metazoa; Chordata; Mammalia; Primates; Cercopithecidae. The record is from RefSeq and is a predicted model, not a curated record.